Molecule: ribosomal RNA, 529 nt
Filed under: uncultured bacterium
Lineage: Bacteria
Description: bacterial SSU rRNA
Rfam family: Bacterial small subunit ribosomal RNA
Source: RNAcentral
AGAGUUUGAUCCUGGCUCAGAACGAACGCUGGCGGCGUGGAUAAGACAUGCAAGUCGAACGGAAUUUGUUUGGUAGUAAUAUCGAGCAAGUUUAGUGGCGAAAGGGUGAGUAACAGGUGGGAAUCUGCCGGGAAGUGGGGAAUAGCCAACCGAAAGGUUGGAUAAUGCCCCAUGUGAACGUGAGUUUAAAGCGGGGGACCGUAAGGCCUCGCGCUUCCUGAGGAGCCCGCCUCCUAUCAGCUAGUUGGUGAGGUAAAAGCUCACCGAGGCGAUGACGGGUAGCUGGUCUGAGAGGACGACCAGUCACACUGGAACUGAGACACGGUCCAGACACCUACGGGUGGCAGCAGUCGAGAAUUUUUCACAAUGGGGGAAACCCUGAUGGAGCGACGCCGCGUGGAGGAUGAAGGUUUUCGGAUUGUAAACUCCUGUCACCACAGAACAGGCAAUGCGGGUUAACAGCCUGCAAAGUUGAUAGUACGUGGGGAGGAAGGGACGGCUAACUCUGUGCCAGCCGCCGCGGUAAUAC